UACGUAGGGCGCAAGCGUUGUCCGGAAUUAUUGGGCGUAAAGAGCUCGUAGGCGGCCUGUUGCGUCCGCUGUGAAAUCCCGGGGCUUAACCCCGGGCCUGCAGUCGAUACGGGCAAACUAGAGUGUGGUAGGGGAGACUGGAAUUCCUGGUGUAGCGGUGAAAUGCGCAGAUAUCAGGAGGAACACCGGCGGCGAAGGCGGGUCUCUGGGCCGAUACUGACGCUGAGGAGCGAAAGCGUGGGGAGCGAACAGG
RNAcentral lists this ribosomal RNA (253 nucleotides) under uncultured bacterium. Its description in RNAcentral is "partial 16S ribosomal RNA". It matches the Rfam family "Bacterial small subunit ribosomal RNA", at positions 524 to 776 of the family's 1533-position model. The record is from RNAcentral.